CAUAAAGCGUUGAAGGAACGAGUAGAAAGCAGACCACUCCAAAGAGAGGUGUACCUUGGCUGAAAGUACACUGUGUGAAGGGCUUUUGAAAGCUACUCCUGAGUGCAGAUAAUCUCUGACGUUAAGCCGCGUUAAGGUGUUUAAGUGAUAGACAAUAGCUGUCUAUAAUUAGGGUGGUACCGCGUGAUAAACUCUCGUCCCUUUU
Molecule: non-coding RNA, 205 nt
Filed under: Halalkalibacter okhensis
Lineage: Bacteria; Bacillati; Bacillota; Bacilli; Caryophanales; Bacillaceae
Description: Bacillus okhensis T-box sequence
Rfam family: T-box leader
About the family: Uncharged tRNA acts as the effector for transcription antitermination of genes in the T-box leader family.
Source: RNAcentral